CCUACGGGAGGCAGCAGUGAGGAAUAUUGGUCAAUGGGCGCGAGCCUGAACCAGCCAAGUCGCGUGAGGGAAGACGGUCCUAUGGAUUGUAAACCUCUUUUGUCGGGGAGCAAAAGACGCCACGCGUGGCGGUCCGAGAGUACCCGAAGAAAAAGCAUCGGCUAACUCCGUGCCAGCAGCCGCGGUACUAAGGAGGAUGCGAGCGUUAUCCGGAUUUAUUGGGUUUAAAGGGUGCGCAGGCGGAAGAUUAAGUCAGCGGUAAAAUUGAGAGGCUCAACCCCUUCGGGCCGUUGAAACUGGUUUUCUUGAGUGAGCGAGAAGAAGGCGGAAUGCGUGGUGUAGCGGUGAAAUGCAUAGAUAUCACGCAGAACCCCGAUUGCGAAGGCAGCCGUCCGGCGCUCAACUGACGCUGAUGCACGAAAGUGUGGGUAUCGAACAGGAUUAGAUACCCUAGUAGUC
RNAcentral lists this ribosomal RNA (459 nucleotides) under uncultured bacterium. RNAcentral describes it as "partial 16S ribosomal RNA". It matches the Rfam family "Bacterial small subunit ribosomal RNA", at positions 338 to 795 of the family's 1533-position model. The record is from RNAcentral.